Non-coding RNA from Meleagris gallopavo (turkey), 2470 nucleotides. NCBI's taxonomy places the organism in Eukaryota, Metazoa, Chordata, Aves, Galliformes, Phasianidae. The record is from RefSeq and is a predicted model, not a curated record.
CUUAUGUUUAAGAUGGAUACAAGAGCCUGAAGUACCCAGAUUUCAGACAGCCUAUUCCCUGUUAGCCCCCUGACCCGCAGGAGUGGACAGCAGUGAAGAUGGAGUCUCUGCAAAAGAAUAUGUGAAAGAUUAAGUACAAGUGGAUUUGAUACUUCCAUGCCUUUGUACAUGAAAAGGGAUAAUACUAACAGCAGGUACUCAGGAUGCCCUCUGUUGCAUGGUGGAUGGUUGCUCUUCAAACUGUUGUGUGAUUAGGAAUGUCAAUGCAGAGGGCAGAUAUGCUGAAAUCAGGAAAGAUAUCUAAGAAGACAUUUGAGAGCUCCUCUACUUGUGGAAUUCAAGCAUUGACUUUAAGUAGCACCACCUAUUAACAAAGGAGGAUAUAUAAUGCACUUAAUGGAAAAGCUCCCAGUGGGUUCUUGGACCAGUUCUGUGUUUAAUUUCUGUCCUGAAGUUAAGUCUUUGAAAACUCUGAAAUCAGUUUACUGAACCUGAGCAGGAACAAAACUACAAGAGAAGCCUAUUUAAUUCUAUCUGAUUCUCUGAAACCAGUAUGAAGCUAUGAUUCAAGUUAAUGUUGUUAACAUCAUCCCUAUCUGAUUUGAGAAGAAACUGUUUCUGUCAAUAUUUGAAUGUGACGGGGGUGAACAGGAGGAAGAAGUGAAGUCUAAUCUCAGCAGAUGGUUGUCAAAACUGCACAGAGUGACUGAGAAUGUAGAAAGAAGAGAGUUUCCCCCAUUUUGUUUUUAUGUCGUGAAUAGUGAAUAAAUCAUACAUUAUAGACAAAUCAAAAAUAGCAAAAACUAGGUAAAGUACAAGAUGAAAAGAAUGAAAACAGUAUUGCUGAAAAGUAUUUUGCAGAUAAAUGUAUGUGAUUACUCACAGAUCUUAAAUGAAUGUUGAGACGACUGAAAACAAAAAUGGACAUAUGUAUUGUAUUUAUGCAUUGAUAAUCUCAUCUUGGAGAUAUUACAAGAAUGAUUCAUGUUGACAAGAAAAGAAGAAUGUCUUUCAAGCUGUUACUUAGUUACUGACAAAUCAAGUAUGUCAAUUGGACGCAAGGAUGGGCAAAGCAGACUUGUAAGACAGAUAGGCUGCUGUAAGUUUUACAUCUGAUCAUAGCUGAAAAUCUGAAUGUUAACCCAAACUUUUCUCUCCAUUUAGAGUCUUCUUAUUCAUUGAGCUAUGCUCUGUAUCUUGACUUGUACUGGAAAAUCAUGGAUUAGGACUAUCUUUUUUUAUUUGAAAAAGUUCGUAGAUAUAGACCUGUGCUAUGUAGUUUCUGUGUAGUUGGAAUGCACACAACUGAAAUAGACACUUGAACUAACUUGAAACAGGAUAUGUCUACCAGCCUUUUUGAAUAGUGUUUGAUUGCUUUACAAUAUUUUCUGUGUAAAUGUGCGUGUAUUGUAUUUUGAUGCUCAUACAUGCAAAAAUCAUUCCUUAAUGGAUUUUUUUAUAAACAGGUAGGACUAUGUAAGUGACUUAGUGUCACCACAGAAUGUGUUUGUGGCUAUAGGGUUACUUAACCUCUCAUUUCAGCAAAAUUUAUCUGAUUCACAGAAUACAGGCACUACAAUAUGAAUUUCAAUUUAAGUGGGUGCCUUCAAAUGGCGUUAAAUCAAGGAUCUUCACUGACUCAUUAAUAAAUACACUUUACAUUAAGUUUUGUUGUAUUAUGUUUAGUGUAUGUAAAAUUCACGUAAUUCUACAGUAAUUAUAAUAAUAGUAAAGGAUAAAAUUACUUUAGAAACGAAUGAAACUGACUUUCUUCCCAGAUCAAUUGUAUCUGAUUUUUUGCUUUGAAAUGUAUGGUUGUUGGUUUUUUUGUUUGUUUGUUUGCUUGUUUUUCAUUCCUUUUGCCAUUCUGGAAAAAGUGUAUUUGAUCUAAUCUGUUCCCAACAAUUUUCAGUUACUAUGGCAUCUUACUCAAAAAGUAAAGAAGCUGCAAUUUUUAUAUAUAAGCAUUCUUGUUCAAAAGUCAAAGAUUAAUUUGAAUACUGAAAGUCUGUAUACAGCCUUGGCAGCUUAGCAGGUAUUUUGAGUGCUUGUAAACUAAUUUAUACUAGAAAGAAUAAAAAUUACAAGGGUUACUAAUCUUCAUGCUGAAAUCAUUAAGAUAAUUACCACCAACUGUUUUAUUAUCCAAGUAUAUCAGGGGAAAUGUAGUUGCAUCCUGCAGCAAUGAAUUAAAACAGAGUAGGUAUGUACCAAUCUACAGUGUAAAUGACAUAUUGAAAAACAGAUACUUGUGUAUGUGUCUUGUACUGGUACAUAACUUUCCUAUUGGUAAACUUAAAAGGUCUAUUAAGUGGAAUACUGUUUUUUAUUCUUAAAAUACUGCCAUGUCAAGUCUCCUUUUCUGGUACUUUCCACCCAUUGCAGUACUGCUCCGUCUGUUUUGAUUUACAGAUCCUCAAGUCACAUAAGGUAUUAUCUUUGUCUAUUUUGUUUUUUUUUUUUUUCCCCA